RNAcentral lists this ribosomal RNA (464 nucleotides) under Vreelandella stevensii. RNAcentral describes it as "partial 16S ribosomal RNA". It matches the Rfam family "Bacterial small subunit ribosomal RNA", at positions 338 to 795 of the family's 1533-position model. Lineage: Bacteria; Pseudomonadati; Pseudomonadota; Gammaproteobacteria; Oceanospirillales; Halomonadaceae. The record is from RNAcentral.
CCUACGGGGUGCAGCAGUGGGGAAUAUUGGACAAUGGGCGAAAGCCUGAUCCAGCCAUGCCGCGUGUGUGAAGAAGGCCUUCGGGUUGUAAAGCACUUUCAGUGGGGAAGAAAGCCUUGGGGCUAAUACCCUCGAGGAAGGACAUCACCCACAGAAGAAGCACCGGCUAACUCCGUGCCAGCAGCCGGGUAAUACGGAGGGUGCGAGCGUUAAUCGGAAUUACUGGGCGUAAAGCGCGCGUAGGCGGUCUGAUAAGCCGGUUGUGAAAGCCCCGGGCUCAACCUGGGAACGGCAUCCGGAACUGUCAGGCUAGAGUGCAGGAGAGGAAGGUAGAAUUCCCGGUGUAGCGGUGAAAUGCGUAGAGAUCGGGAGGAAUACCAGUGGCGAAGGCGGCCUUCUGGACUGACACUGACGCUGAGGUGCGAAAGCGUGGGUAGCAAACAGGAUUAGAUACCCUAGUAGUC